GACCCUGGCUCAGGAUGAACGCUAGCUACAGGCUUAACACAUGCAAGUCGAGGGGCAGCGGGAUUGAAGCUUGCUUCAAUUGCCGGCGACCGGCGCACGGGUGAGUAACGCGUAUCCAACCUUCCGUACACUCAGGGAUAGCCUUUCGAAAGAAAGAUUAAUACCUGAUGGUAUCUUAAGCACACAUGUAAUUAAGAUUAAAGAUUUAUCGGUGUACGAUGGGGAUGCGUUCCAUUAGGUAGUAGGCGGGG
RNAcentral lists this ribosomal RNA (251 nucleotides) under uncultured bacterium. RNAcentral's name for it is "partial 16S ribosomal RNA". It matches the Rfam family "Bacterial small subunit ribosomal RNA", at positions 15 to 257 of the family's 1533-position model. The record is from RNAcentral.